AACGAACGCUGGCGGCAGGCCUAACACAUGCAAGUCGAACGCCCCGCAAGGGGAGUGGCAGACGGGUGAGUAACACGUGGGAACCUACCUUGAGGUACGGAACAACCAAGGGAAACUUUGGCUAAUACCGUAUGAGCCCGAGAGGGGAAAGAUUUAUCGCCUUGGGAUGGGCCCGCGUCGGAUUAGCUAGUUGGUGUGGUAAUGGCGCACCAAGGCGACGAUCCGUAGCUGGUCUGAGAGGAUGACCAGCCACACUGGGACUGAGACACGGCCCAGACUCCUACGGGAGGCAGCAGUGGGGAAUAUUGGACAAUGGGCGCAAGCCUGAUCCAGCCAUGCCGCGUGUGUGAUGAAGGCCUUAGGGUUGUAAGCUCUUUCGGUGGGGAAGAAAUUGCAUGGGCUAAUACCCUGUGUAGAUGACGGUACCUGGAGAAGAAGCACCGGCUAACUACGUG
Molecule: ribosomal RNA, 455 nt
Filed under: uncultured bacterium
Lineage: Bacteria
Description: bacterial SSU rRNA
Rfam family: Bacterial small subunit ribosomal RNA
Source: RNAcentral